Molecule: transfer RNA, 66 nt
Filed under: Clostridioides difficile P1
Lineage: Bacteria; Bacillati; Bacillota; Clostridia; Peptostreptococcales; Peptostreptococcaceae
Description: partial tRNA-Gly
Rfam family: tRNA
About the family: Transfer RNA (tRNA) molecules are approximately 80 nucleotides in length. Their secondary structure includes four short double-helical elements and three loops (D, anti-codon, and T loops).
Source: RNAcentral
AGCUCAAUGGUAGAGUUCUGGCCUUCCAAGCCAGCUGUGAGGGUUCGAUCCCCUUCACCCGCUCCA